UACGUAGGGGGCGAGCGUUAUCCGGAUUUACUGGGUGUAAAGGGGGCGCAGACGGCGAUGCAAGCCAGGAGUGAAAGCCCGGGGCCCAACCCCGGGACUGCUCUUGGAACUGCGUGGCUGGAGUGCAGGAGGGGCAGGCGGAAUUCCUGGUGUAGCGGUGAAAUGCGUAGAUAUCAGGAGGAACACCGGUGGCGAAGGCGGCCUGCUGGACUGCAACUGACGUUGAGGCCCGAAAGCGUGGGGAGCAAACAGG
Molecule: ribosomal RNA, 253 nt
Filed under: uncultured bacterium
Lineage: Bacteria
Description: partial 16S ribosomal RNA
Rfam family: Bacterial small subunit ribosomal RNA
Source: RNAcentral